This 849-nucleotide ribosomal RNA is filed under the name uncultured bacterium. RNAcentral describes it as "bacterial SSU rRNA". It matches the Rfam family "Bacterial small subunit ribosomal RNA", at positions 8 to 814 of the family's 1533-position model. The record is from RNAcentral.
AGAGUUUGAUCCUGGCUCAGGAUGAACGCUGGCGGCGUGCCUAAUACAUGCAAGUCGAACGCUUUGUCUUUAAUUGAUCUGACGAGCUUGCUCUGAUGUGAUUUUAUCUGACAAAGAGUGGCGAACGGGUGAGUAACACGUGGGUAACCUACCUCUUAGCAGGGGAUAACAUUUGGAAACAAGUGCUAAUACCGUAUAAUACCAACAACCGCAUGGUUGUUGGUUGAAAGAUGGUUCUGCUAUCACUAAGAGAUGGACCCGCGGUGCAUUAGCUAGUUGGUAAGGUAACGGCUUACCAAGGCGAUGAUGCAUAGCCGAGUUGAGAGACUGAUCGGCCACAAUGGGACUGAGACACGGCCCAUACUCCUACGGGAGGCAGCAGUAGGGAAUCUUCCACAAUGGGCGCAAGCCUGAUGGAGCAACGCCGCGUGUGUGAUGAAGGGUUUCGGCUCGUAAAACACUGUUAUAAGAGAAGAACGGCACUGAGAGUAACUGUUCAGUGUGUGACGGUAUCUUACCAGAAAGGAACGGCUAAAUACGUGCCAGCAGCCGCGGUAAUACGUAUGUUCCAAGCGUUAUCCGGAUUUAUUGGGCGUAAAGCGAGCGCAGACGGUUAUUUAAGUCUGAAGUGAAAGCCCUCAGCUCAACUGAGGAAUGGCUUUGGAAACUGGAUGACUUGAGUGCAGUAGAGGAAAGUGGAACUCCAUGUGUAGCGGUGAAAUGCGUAGAUAUAUGGAAGAACACCAGUGGCGAAGGCGGCUUUCUGGACUGUAACUGACGUUGAGGCUCGAAAGUGUGGGUAGCAAACAGGAUUAGAUACCCUGGUAGUCCACACCGUAAACGAUGAGU